Long non-coding RNA from Nicotiana tabacum (common tobacco), 662 nucleotides. RefSeq lists it as uncharacterized. The record is from RefSeq and is a predicted model, not a curated record. NCBI's taxonomy places the organism in Eukaryota, Viridiplantae, Streptophyta, Magnoliopsida, Solanales, Solanaceae.
CAAACCCUAAAGGGGGAGAAGAGAUAUAGACGGAUCUCCCCUCCAAAAGACUCGGCUGGUAUACAUAUUCUAGGAGUUCGAAGGAUAUUUGAGGUUUUAUAGUUGCUGUUUUUUCUUGUUAAAGCAGUGUUGAACUCUGUUUGGUUGGGAUUUCGCCUUUAUUUGGCCAAUCUAUUAGUGAUGUCACUGUUCAGCUAGGUCGAUUUUGGGGCUGAUUUUUUAUGGAAGAAAGCUGACAUUUCAGCUACUUAUUUUUGCUGAAACAAUGGUGUUUGGAAAGUGGUUAAAGGCUAGUUUCACGGCUGAUUUUGUUGGGUUAGGAGCUAGUUUUUUUGUGGUAAUUUUCAAAUUGUUUUGAAGUAUCUUAGGGGGUUAAUGGAUUGGAUGAUGAAGGAUCAUUACAUGGCUACAGUGAGGCAACAUAUAGAAAGAUGAAGAAGAGUGUGUGCUCUUCUGGACGAGCGUUCCUUAACCUUUUGCUAUGGAAAGUUUACGCGAGUGGUAAAAAUCAAACAUGACCCAUAAUACCUUUGUUUAACCACCAGCUGCACAAUGACCUCAAAUUUAGGAUUAAACGUUUCAUGAACAUCGUAGCUUUAGCUUGCUUUAGACGUGAUUAAUAAAUUAUUGUGGUCAUGGGUACGAUUUCCGUGGCAUGGUCA